CCUCUCUCUCAGUGCACUGGUCUGUCCAGCUGUGGUCACUCUCCUCAGGCGUGAAGGCUCAGGGGAGCUGCUGCCCACUCCUGGGAGUGCGUUUGGAAGAAAUUCCCAGGAUCACUGGUCAGAAGGCUCUGACUCAGGGAGAGCUGCUUUGUCUGCCCAUGGGGAAUCCGUAAGAAGCAGUGACUGGCACGCCGGAAAGGAGAUUGCCCUUCUGAGGAGAGAUGCGGAGUAGAAGCCUCAAAAGGAAGAGUGGGAGAUGACUAGACACAGGAUUGGGGGUCAGAAUGCCUGAGUUUUAGACCCAGUUCCGCCAUUGUUUUUCUGUGGGGCUUUAGGCAAGAACUUUCAUGUCUUAGUCCCUCUGAGGGAUGUUUGCAAAAACGCUUUGGAGAAGGUGCAAGUCA
Mauremys reevesii (Reeves's turtle) is the source of this 404-nucleotide long non-coding RNA. RefSeq lists it as uncharacterized. The record is from RefSeq and is a predicted model, not a curated record. The transcript has 2 exons. Lineage: Eukaryota; Metazoa; Chordata; Testudines; Geoemydidae.